GCUCUAAAAAAAAAAAAAGAAAAAAAAUCCUCUGAAUGAGGAUCUGGGACCGGCAUCGGAGCUCCGUCGAGCCUCCGUUCUCAGGCGGUCACGUGCCCACGCGCCACUGCGAACGCCGCCACGUAUGACGGCCGGAAACUAGAAAGUUUCCUUUCUCCGACGCGAAUAAAAAAAAGAUAAACCGCGAGGAUCUUGCUCGAUCACUGAUGUCUGCGUGCUGAUGGAGCCAACUCCAUAUCGUAGUGCGAGGAGAUUUGAUGAUUUCGGCGUGAUUUGCGCGUCGAUGGUGGCAUGAUGUAUGACGGUAAAGUCGAGGGAUCACGGCAUGCUUGGUGGCGAUGAUUGGGCUGUUGAAUCUGUGAGAUGAAAAGUCACAUCGCUUGGAGUGCCUGAAGCUUCCAGAAAUUCUUUGCGGCGCUGAGUUCUCAGGAAACCCUAGGGUUCCCUUGUCUGUUUUUACAGUUUUGAGCUUUUGGGCCUCGUGUAAACCUGGGUCAAAAGGGGUUAAGUUAUUUUUGGGGUGUAAAUGAGUCUGAUAAGUUUGGGCUUAUGGGUUAAUGGUUGUAACCGGUCUGCUAGGUCUAGGUUAAAUAGGUCAAUUAAUUUGGGCCUUUGUAAACUGGACUGUAAUGGACUUUUUAAAUAAAUAAACAUUUAUUUAUUUAA
Long non-coding RNA from Gossypium arboreum, 666 nucleotides. RefSeq lists it as uncharacterized. The transcript has 2 exons. The record is from RefSeq and is a predicted model, not a curated record. NCBI's taxonomy places the organism in Eukaryota, Viridiplantae, Streptophyta, Magnoliopsida, Malvales, Malvaceae.